AUCUCUCUCGAACUCACUUUUACUAAGAGCUCUUUCUAGAUUCUAUGGGUGGUGGUGUAUGACCAUUCUUAGUUGGUGAAGCGAUUUGUCUGGUUAAUUUCAUUAACGAACGAGACCUCAGUCUGCUAACUAGCUAUGCCGAGGUACCCCUUCGUGGUCAGCUUCUUAGAGGGACUACGGUCUUUUAGGCUGUGGAAGUUUAAGGCAAUAACAGGUCUGCGAUGUCCUUAGAUGUUCUGG
This 240-nucleotide ribosomal RNA is filed under the name Olea europaea subsp. europaea. RNAcentral describes it as "SSU_rRNA_eukarya". It matches the Rfam family "Eukaryotic small subunit ribosomal RNA", at positions 1228 to 1485 of the family's 1831-position model. Lineage: Eukaryota; Viridiplantae; Streptophyta; Magnoliopsida; Lamiales; Oleaceae. The record is from RNAcentral.